UAGCUCAGUUGUUAGAGCAUGGCUGAACACGCCAAGGUUGUGGGUUCGAUUCCCAC
Molecule: transfer RNA, 56 nt
Filed under: Salmo salar (Atlantic salmon)
Lineage: Eukaryota; Metazoa; Chordata; Actinopteri; Salmoniformes; Salmonidae
Rfam family: tRNA
About the family: Transfer RNA (tRNA) molecules are approximately 80 nucleotides in length. Their secondary structure includes four short double-helical elements and three loops (D, anti-codon, and T loops). Further hydrogen bonds mediate the characteristic L-shaped molecular structure. tRNAs have two regions of fundamental functional importance: the anti-codon, which is responsible for specific mRNA codon recognition, and the 3' end, to which the tRNAs corresponding amino acid is attached (by aminoacyl-tRNA synthetases). tRNAs cope with the degeneracy of the genetic code in two manners: having more than one tRNA (with a specific anti-codon) for a particular amino acid; and 'wobble' base-pairing, i.e. permitting non-standard base-pairing at the 3rd anti-codon position.
Source: Rfam by way of RNAcentral